GCCUAAACAGGUUGGCUUCCUGCGGGAAGCCACUGCACACGAAACAGUUUCGUGUUGGCGAGUCCAGCCCUGUUCCGUAUGCAGUACAAUUGACGCAUUCAGAUACUGGUAACACAUGAAUCCCAUCGUAAUUAACAAGCUACAACGCAAGUUGGGCUACACUUUUAGCC
Molecule: regulatory RNA element, 170 nt
Organism: Erwinia mallotivora
Lineage: Bacteria; Pseudomonadati; Pseudomonadota; Gammaproteobacteria; Enterobacterales; Erwiniaceae
Rfam family: rncO
About the family: This family represents a bacterial regulatory element (rncO) found in the rnc leader sequence. The rnc operon is negatively auto-regulated by transcript stability. rnc, the first gene in the operon codes for RNase III which cleaves the long rncO stem II leading to transcript degradation and a reduction in translation.
Source: Rfam